AUUGAACGCUGGCGGCAGGCCUAACACAUGCAAGUCGAACGGUAACAGGAAGCAGCUUGCUGCUUUGCUGACGAGUGGCGGACGGGUGAGUAAUGUCUGGGAAACUGCCCGAUGGAGGGGGAUAACUACUGGAAACGGUAGCUAAUACCGCAUAACGUCGCAAGACCAAAGAGGGGGACCUUAGGGCCUCUUUCCAUCGGAUGUGCCCAGAUGGGAUUAGCUAGUAGGUGGGGUAACGGCUCACCUAGGCGACGAUCCCUAGCUGGUCUGAGAGGAUGACCAGCCACACUGGAACUGAGACACGGUCCAGACUCCUCCGGGAGGAAGCAGUGGGGAAUAUUGCACAAAGGGGGCAAGCCUGAUGCAGCCAUGCCGCGUGUAUGAAGAAGGCCUUCGGGUUGUAAAGUACUUUCAGCGGGGAGGAAGGGAGUAAAGUUAAUACCUUUGCUCAUUGACGUUACCCGCAGAAGAAGCACCGGCUAACUCCGUG
This 490-nucleotide ribosomal RNA is filed under the name uncultured bacterium. RNAcentral describes it as "partial 16S ribosomal RNA". It matches the Rfam family "Bacterial small subunit ribosomal RNA", at positions 30 to 507 of the family's 1533-position model. The record is from RNAcentral.